RNAcentral lists this ribosomal RNA (496 nucleotides) under uncultured bacterium. RNAcentral describes it as "partial 16S ribosomal RNA". It matches the Rfam family "Bacterial small subunit ribosomal RNA", at positions 29 to 507 of the family's 1533-position model. The record is from RNAcentral.
AUGAACGCUUGCGGCGUGCCUAAUCCCUGCAAGUCGAGCGAACAGACGAGGAGCUUGCUCCUCUGACGUUAGCGGCGGACGGGUGAGUAACACGUGGAUAACCUACCUAUAAGACUGGGAUAACUUCGGGAAACCGGAGCUAAUACCGGAUAAUAUAUUGAACCGCAUGGUUCAAUAGUGAAAGACGGUUUUGCUGUCACUUAUAGAUGGAUCCGCGCCGCAUUAGCUAGUUGGUAAGGUAACGGCUUACCAAGGCAACGAUGCGUAGCCGACCUGAGAGGGUGAUCGGCCACACUGGAACUGAGACACGGUCCAGACUCCUACGGGAGGCAGCAGUAGGGAAUCUUCCGCAAUGGGCGAAAGCCUGACGGAGCAACGCCGCGUGAGUGAUGAAGGUCUUCGGAUCGUAAAACUCUGUUAUUAGGGAAGAACAAAUGUGUAAGUAACUAUGCACGUCUUGACGGUACCUAAUCAGAAAGCCACGGCUAACUACGUG